Molecule: ribosomal RNA, 497 nt
Filed under: uncultured bacterium
Lineage: Bacteria
Description: partial 16S ribosomal RNA
Rfam family: Bacterial small subunit ribosomal RNA
Source: RNAcentral
GGUGAACGCUGGCGGCGUGCCUAAUACAUGCAAGUCGAGCGAACGGACGAGAAGCUUGCUUCUCUGAUGUUAGCGGCGGACGGGUGAGUAACACAUGGAUAACCUACCUAUAAGACUGGGAUAACUUCGGGAAACCGGAGCUAAUACUGGAUAAUAUUUUGAACCGCAUGGUUCAAAAGUGAAAGACGGUCUUGCUGUCACUUAUAGAUGGAUCCGCGCUGCAUUAGCUAGUUGGUAAGGUAACGGCUCACCAAGGCAACGAUGCAUAGCCGACCUGAGAGGGUGAUCGGCCACACUGGAACUGAGACACGGUCCAGACUCCUACGGGAGGCAGCAGUAGGGAAUCUUCCGCAAUGGGCUAAAGCCUGACGGAGCAACGCCGCGUGAGUGAUGAAGGUCUUCGGAUCGUAAAACUCUGUUAUUAGGGAAGAACAUAUGUGUAAGUAACUGUGCACAUCUUGACGGUACCUAAUCAGAAAGCCACGGCUAACUACGUG